CGGGGCGUAGCGCAGCCUGGUAGCGCACUUGCAUGGGGUGCAAGGGGUCGAGUGUUCGAAUCACUCCGUCCCGACCA
This 77-nucleotide transfer RNA is filed under the name Pseudomonas aeruginosa. RNAcentral's name for it is "tRNA-Pro (GGG) (tRNA-Pro-GGG-1-1)". It matches the Rfam family "tRNA". Rfam says of the family: Transfer RNA (tRNA) molecules are approximately 80 nucleotides in length. Their secondary structure includes four short double-helical elements and three loops (D, anti-codon, and T loops). The record is from RNAcentral. Lineage: Bacteria; Pseudomonadati; Pseudomonadota; Gammaproteobacteria; Pseudomonadales; Pseudomonadaceae. RNAcentral also lists the same sequence under 693 other names.